RNAcentral lists this ribosomal RNA (761 nucleotides) under Prevotella melaninogenica. Its description in RNAcentral is "bacterial SSU rRNA". It matches the Rfam family "Bacterial small subunit ribosomal RNA", at positions 28 to 776 of the family's 1533-position model. Lineage: Bacteria; Pseudomonadati; Bacteroidota; Bacteroidia; Bacteroidales; Prevotellaceae. The record is from RNAcentral.
GAUGAACGCUAGCUACAGGCUUAACACAUGCAAGUCGAGGGGAAACGGCAUUAAGUGCUUGCACUUUUUGGACGUCGACCGGCGCACGGGUGAGUAACGCGUAUCCAACCUUCCCAUGACUAAGGGAUAACCUGCCGAAAGGCAGACUAAUACCUUAUGGUCUUCACUGACGGCAUCAGAUGUGAAGUAAAGAUUUAUCGGUUAUGGAUGGGGAUGCGUCUGAUUAGCUUGUUGGCGGGGUAACGGCCCACCAAGGCAACGAUCAGUAGGGGUUCUGAGAGGAAGGUCCCCCACAUUGGAACUGAGACACGGUCCAAACUCCUACGGGAGGCAGCAGUGAGGAGUAUUGGUCAAUGGGCGAGAGCCUGAACCAGCCAAGUAGCGUGCAGGAUGACGGCCCUAUGGGUUGUAAACUGCUUUUGUAUGGGGAUAAAGUCAAUCACGUGUGAUUGUUUGCAGGUACCAUACGAAUAAGGACCGGCUAAUUCCGUGCCAGCAACCGCGGUAAUACGGAAGGUCCGGGCGUUAUCCGGAUUUAUUGGGUUUAAAGGGAGCGUAGGCUGGAGAUUAAGUGUGUUGUGAAAUGUAGACGCUCAACGUCUGACUUGCAGCGCAUACUGGUUUCCUUGAGUACGCACAACGUUGGCGGAAUUCGUCGUGUAGCGGUGAAAUGCUUAGAUAUGACGAAGAACUCCGAUUGCGAAGGCAGCUGACGGGAGCGCAACUGACGCUGAAGCUCGAAGGUGCGGGUAUCGAACAGG